UGCUAGAAGUGGGUUAGGUUAGGUUAGAACUGCGACCCCCAAGAAAACGAACUGUUGCCAGAAGUGGGUUAGGUUAGAACUGCGACCCCCCAAGAAAACGAACUGUUGCCAGAAGUGGGUUAGGUUAGAAUUGCGACCCCCAAGAAAACGAACUGUUGCCAGAAAAG
Cydia strobilella is the source of this 167-nucleotide long non-coding RNA. RefSeq lists it as uncharacterized. The record is from RefSeq and is a predicted model, not a curated record. The transcript has 3 exons. NCBI's taxonomy places the organism in Eukaryota, Metazoa, Arthropoda, Insecta, Lepidoptera, Tortricidae.